Molecule: ribosomal RNA, 1549 nt
Filed under: Klebsiella pneumoniae
Lineage: Bacteria; Pseudomonadati; Pseudomonadota; Gammaproteobacteria; Enterobacterales; Enterobacteriaceae
Description: bacterial SSU rRNA
Rfam family: Bacterial small subunit ribosomal RNA
Source: RNAcentral
AAAUUGAAGAGUUUGAUCAUGGCUCAGAUUGAACGCUGGCGGCAGGCCUAACACAUGCAAGUCGAGCGGUAGCACAGAGAGCUUGCUCUCGGGUGACGAGCGGCGGACGGGUGAGUAAUGUCUGGGAAACUGCCUGAUGGAGGGGGAUAACUACUGGAAACGGUAGCUAAUACCGCAUAACGUCGCAAGACCAAAGUGGGGGACCUUCGGGCCUCAUGCCAUCAGAUGUGCCCAGAUGGGAUUAGCUAGUAGGUGGGGUAACGGCUCACCUAGGCGACGAUCCCUAGCUGGUCUGAGAGGAUGACCAGCCACACUGGAACUGAGACACGGUCCAGACUCCUACGGGAGGCAGCAGUGGGGAAUAUUGCACAAUGGGCGCAAGCCUGAUGCAGCCAUGCCGCGUGUGUGAAGAAGGCCUUCGGGUUGUAAAGCACUUUCAGCGGGGAGGAAGGCGUUAAGGUUAAUAACCUUGGCGAUUGACGUUACCCGCAGAAGAAGCACCGGCUAACUCCGUGCCAGCAGCCGCGGUAAUACGGAGGGUGCAAGCGUUAAUCGGAAUUACUGGGCGUAAAGCGCACGCAGGCGGUCUGUCAAGUCGGAUGUGAAAUCCCCGGGCUCAACCUGGGAACUGCAUUCGAAACUGGCAGGCUAGAGUCUUGUAGAGGGGGUAGAAUUCCAGGUGUAGCGGUGAAAUGCGUAGAGAUCUGGAGGAAUACCGGUGGCGAAGGCGGCCCCCUGGACAAAGACUGACGCUCAGGUGCGAAAGCGUGGGGAGCAAACAGGAUUAGAUACCCUGGUAGUCCACGCCGUAAACGAUGUCGAUUUGGAGGUUGUGCCCUUGAGGCGUGGCUUCCGGAGCUAACGCGUUAAAUCGACCGCCUGGGGAGUACGGCCGCAAGGUUAAAACUCAAAUGAAUUGACGGGGGCCCGCACAAGCGGUGGAGCAUGUGGUUUAAUUCGAUGCAACGCGAAGAACCUUACCUGGUCUUGACAUCCACAGAACUUUCCAGAGAUGGAUUGGUGCCUUCGGGAACUGUGAGACAGGUGCUGCAUGGCUGUCGUCAGCUCGUGUUGUGAAAUGUUGGGUUAAGUCCCGCAACGAGCGCAACCCUUAUCCUUUGUUGCCAGCGGUUCGGCCGGGAACUCAAAGGAGACUGCCAGUGAUAAACUGGAGGAAGGUGGGGAUGACGUCAAGUCAUCAUGGCCCUUACGACCAGGGCUACACACGUGCUACAAUGGCAUAUACAAAGAGAAGCGACCUCGCGAGAGCAAGCGGACCUCAUAAAGUAUGUCGUAGUCCGGAUUGGAGUCUGCAACUCGACUCCAUGAAGUCGGAAUCGCUAGUAAUCGUAGAUCAGAAUGCUACGGUGAAUACGUUCCCGGGCCUUGUACACACCGCCCGUCACACCAUGGGAGUGGGUUGCAAAAGAAGUAGGUAGCUUAACCUUCGGGAGGGCGCUUACCACUUUGUGAUUCAUGACUGGGGUGAAGUCGUAACAAGGUAACCGUAGGGGAACCUGCGGUUGGAUCACCUCCUUACCUUAAAGAA